This 429-nucleotide ribosomal RNA is filed under the name Bacteroidota bacterium. RNAcentral's name for it is "Bacteroidetes bacterium partial 16S ribosomal RNA". It matches the Rfam family "Bacterial small subunit ribosomal RNA", at positions 355 to 776 of the family's 1533-position model. The record is from RNAcentral. Lineage: Bacteria; Pseudomonadati; Bacteroidota.
UAGGGAAUCUUCGGCAAUGGGGGGAACCCUGACCGAGCAACGCCGCGUGAGUGAAGAAGGUUUUCGGAUCGUAAAGCUCUGUUGUUAAGGAAGAACGAGUGUGAGAAUGGAAAGUUCAUGCUGUGACGGUACUUAACCAGAAAGGGACGGCUAACUACGUGCCAGCAGCCGCGGUAAUACGUAGGUCCCGAGCGUUGUCCGGAUUUAUUGGGCGUAAAGCGAGCGCAGGCGGUUAGAAAAGUCUGAAGUGAAAGGCAGUGGCUCAACCAUUGUAGGCUUUGGAAACUGUUUAACUUGAGUGCAGAAGGGGGGGGUGGAAUUCCAUGUGUAGCGGUGAAAUGCGUAGAUAUGUGGAGGAACACCGGUGGCGAAAGCGGCUCUCUGGUCUGUAACUGACGCGGAGGCUCGAAAGCGUGGGGAGCGAACAGG